UGAGUAACACGUAUCCAACCUGCCGUCUACUCUUGGACAGCCUUCUGAAAGGAAGAUUAAUACAAGAUGGCAUCAUGAGUCCGCAUGUUCACAUGAUUAAAGGUAUUCCGGUAGACGAUGGGGAUGCGUUCCAUUAGAUAGUAGGCGGGGUAACGGCCCACCUAGUCUUCGAUGGAUAGGGGUUCUGAGAGGAAGGUCCCCCACAUUGGUACUGAGACACGGACCAA
This 227-nucleotide ribosomal RNA is filed under the name uncultured bacterium. RNAcentral describes it as "partial 16S ribosomal RNA". It matches the Rfam family "Bacterial small subunit ribosomal RNA", at positions 107 to 334 of the family's 1533-position model. The record is from RNAcentral.